This 404-nucleotide ribosomal RNA is filed under the name uncultured bacterium. RNAcentral describes it as "bacterial SSU rRNA". It matches the Rfam family "Bacterial small subunit ribosomal RNA", at positions 355 to 776 of the family's 1533-position model. The record is from RNAcentral.
UCGGGAAUUUUGCUCAAUGGGCGAAAGCCUGAAGCAGCAACGCCGCGUGAGGGAUGAAGGCCUUCGGGUUGUAAACCUCUUUUCCCAGGGACGAUAAUGACGGUACCUGGGGAAUAAGCCACGGCUAACUACGUGCCAGCAGCCGCGGUAAUACGUAGGUGGCAAGCGUUGUCCGGAUUUACUGGGCGUAAAGAGCGCGCAGGCGGCCGAGUCAGUCGAAUGUGAAAGCCCCCGGCUCAACUGGGGAGGGUCAUUCGAUACUGCUCGGCUUGAAGAUGGGAGAGGGAAGCGGAAUUCCCGGUGUAGUGGUGAAAUGCGUAGAUAUCGGGAGGAACACCAGUGGCGAAGGCGGCUUCCUGGCCUGUUCUUGACGCUGAGGCGCGAAAGCUAGGGGAGCAAACGGG